CCUAUACUCGCCCUCGUUGGUGCUCGUGCCGUUAUUGCAACGGCACAGUUAAACGGGAAUCAGGGGAGCGCGGCCCACCACGAGUCGCCCUUAACCUGAGCUGCCCCCGCAACGGUAAGCGAGAGAAGGCUGCAUGCCUUCAGCCUGCGUCACAUGUCCACUGGGUUCCGAGAGCCUGGGAAGGAUUCGCAGGAACAUCUCGCCAGCCCGGAGACCGGCCGACAAGCGGGUGAGCCA
This 237-nucleotide non-coding RNA is filed under the name Acidovorax temperans. Lineage: Bacteria; Pseudomonadati; Pseudomonadota; Betaproteobacteria; Burkholderiales; Comamonadaceae. The record is from RNAcentral.